UGGAAAACUACAAGGAUAAAAUACCCACCUUCGGGAAAAAGUCCAUCAUAUGCGAAAGGAAACUUACUCACGUGCGAAAGACGAACUCUAAGAAUUGGAGAAUAACGGCAGUAGACAGCAGCUAACUUCCCCUGUACUCAACGACAUUGAACAAUAGACAUGAAAUGACUCGCUGACCCCCUACAAAGUACUUGUGCUCGGAGGCAGAAUUUGGCAUCGUUUGGGUCGAGAGAUUUCCAAGGGUAAUGAUACAGUUAAACUGUAUAAAAAUACCUCUCAAAAACAACCUUCUCCUGGUCGGCCAUGUCCCUCAUCCUGCACUUGACCCCUGCAGAGGUCACAAGAACAUCGGAGCACAAAUGAGCGAGAAACGGGGAAGCCUUAGCUUCCGGGUCAAGGACUGCAUCACUAGCACCUACCUAUUGAACCUAUUGAUAGGUUUAAAAGUAGGCAUCUUCACGCAAUCUGCGGACCACCUCCUAGCAGCGAAAUACGGAUAUACCCUCCCUAUUACAUGCGUUCAACCGGCACCCGAACCACACGCUGUUUCUUAGACACAACUUCCCACUUAAAUCAGUGUCCUGUCGCAUCAACUGGCAUCGGCAAGUGGCGACACUGUGUAGACUCAACCCUGAGCUUGAUCAGAAUCUUCAGUCACAAACCUGACACCGUUUCGGGGCUUGCAAUACGGUUUUCUGUCAGGCUCCCAGCAGUUUCUUUUGGACCACCAUCUCAUCUGACAAUCACCCGAGGAUACCUGCCAGAGCUCGCAAUUUACGACGAGUUAGCUUAUGGCACCUCUGGCUGUUAAGUGAAGUCAUAAAGGUCAAACAGCUCUCAUCUCCCAUUCUCUCUUCCUAGACAGCAGACCUGGGAGAAACUCCUUCUAGCCGGACGUCACGCGUGAUGUACGAGAAACUACGGACAGGGUACUCCUACUUGCGUGCGAAAGACAAAGGCAGCAAGAAUCGAAGAACAGAACCCCGACCACACUGCUUGUGAGAAAUGAGCAGCUCUUGAUCUAGGACAAAAAACUUUCUUCUGUUUAAUAUCUAAAACGUGUUACGUGUGAUAUUACACCAACUUUUGAUUAAUAAUACGAAACUUUAUACCUUAUAAAGUAUGAUAUUUAAACACGAAAAUUUACAUUCUGAAAUUGGUAUAGUGUUCCUUUAACUGUUCCUUCAACUUUCAUCGUAGCUUUUUUCAAAAUAUUCUUCAGUGCCAUCAACAAACAGAUUUUUUCAUUUGACUGAACUGUGCCAUAUUUGAUAUUGCCUCUGUAUUUUAUAGGGAACAUUUUUUAAAUCUUGCAAGUUGAUGUAAUUAAGUUUUAAGUUAACGUAUUAUAGAUAUGUUAACACUAGUUUAUGUUUCAGUAUUUAAAUUGUUUCCAUUUAUAGUUUAACCGAUCCCUGUUGUAGAGUUAUCAGAUCUUUACUUAGGAUAAACAAUAUAAUAUGAAGUUCGAUAAUAAUAUUAAUAAA
Molecule: long non-coding RNA, 1487 nt
Organism: Bolinopsis microptera
Lineage: Eukaryota; Metazoa; Ctenophora; Tentaculata; Lobata; Bolinopsidae
Exons: 3
Source: RefSeq, a predicted model, not a curated record